This 77-nucleotide transfer RNA is filed under the name Billgrantia desiderata. Its description in RNAcentral is "Halomonas desiderata tRNA_Arg_CCT". It matches the Rfam family "tRNA". Rfam says of the family: Transfer RNA (tRNA) molecules are approximately 80 nucleotides in length. Their secondary structure includes four short double-helical elements and three loops (D, anti-codon, and T loops). RNAcentral also lists the same sequence under 33 other names. Lineage: Bacteria; Pseudomonadati; Pseudomonadota; Gammaproteobacteria; Oceanospirillales; Halomonadaceae. The record is from RNAcentral.
GCCCCCAUAGCUCAGCUGGAUAGAGCGUCCCCCUCCUAAGGGGAAGGUCUCAGGUUCGAAUCCUGAUGGGGGCGCCA